AGCCUGAACGCUGGCGGCGUGGCUAAGACAUGCAAGUCGCACGGUGUAGCAAUACACAGUGGCGAACGGGUGAGUAAAGAAUCGCUAACGUACCCCGGACUCUGGGAUAGCUAUCCGAAAGGGUAGGUAAUACCAGAUGACAUAUUUCUCCUGCAUGGGAGGAAUCUCAAAGGUCCGCCGGUCUGGGGAGCGGGCGAGUUUCGUAUCAGCUAGUUGGUGAGGUAACGGCUCACCAAGGCGACGACGGGUA
RNAcentral lists this ribosomal RNA (250 nucleotides) under uncultured bacterium. RNAcentral's name for it is "partial small subunit ribosomal RNA". It matches the Rfam family "Bacterial small subunit ribosomal RNA", at positions 26 to 285 of the family's 1533-position model. The record is from RNAcentral.